This 253-nucleotide ribosomal RNA is filed under the name uncultured bacterium. RNAcentral describes it as "partial 16S ribosomal RNA". It matches the Rfam family "Bacterial small subunit ribosomal RNA", at positions 524 to 776 of the family's 1533-position model. The record is from RNAcentral.
UACAUGGGGUGCAAACGUUGCUCGGAAUCAUUGGGCGUAAAGCGCGCGUAGGCGGUUACUUAAGUCGAAUGUGAAAGCCCUCGGCUUAACCAAGGAAGUGCAUCCGAAACUGAGUAGCUAGAGUACGAAAGAGGGUCGCGGAAUUCCCGGUGUAGAGGUGAAAUUCGUAGAUAUCGGGAGGAACACCGGUGGCGAAGGCGGCGACCUGGGUCGAGACUGACGCUGAGGCGCGAAGGCUAGGGGAGCGAACGGG